This 651-nucleotide ribosomal RNA is filed under the name uncultured fungus. Its description in RNAcentral is "eukaryotic LSU rRNA". The stretch from base 201 to 355 matches the Rfam family "5.8S ribosomal RNA". Lineage: Eukaryota; Fungi. The record is from RNAcentral.
UAUUGGAUUUAGUGAAAGGGGGAGGGGGGGAGAAAGACAGUUGCUGGCAAGUUCCCUUGCUUGCAUGUGCACGUCUCUUCUGUCUACCUCUUUCGUUAUGCUACACCCUGUGCACCCAUAGUAGGUCGCUCGCAAGGGCUUGAUCUAUGAUUUUCUAUAUGAUCCUACUAUCGUAUGUCUAUGAUGGAAAAUGUGUAUACAACUUUCAGCAACGGAUCUCUUGGCUCUCGCAUCGAUGAAGAACGCAGCGAAUUGCGAUAAGUAAUGUGAAUUGCAGAUUUUCAGUGAAUCAUCGAAUCUUUGAACGCACCUUGCGCUCCUUGGUAUUCCGAGGAGCAUGCCUGUUUGAGUGUCAUUUAUAUUCUCAACCAUGUGUUUCAUGGAUUGGACUUGUGGAGGUUGCUGGCAUUGUCAGCUCUUCUGAAAUGGAUUAGCAAAGGACGGCCUUGGACGUGAUAAUGAUCGUCAUGGGCUAGUGUCUCUUUCUGAAACUUGACCUCAAAUCAGGUAGGACUACCCGCUGAACUUAAGCAUAUCAAUAAGCGGAGGAAAAGAAACUAACAAGGAUUCCCCUAGUAACUGCGAGUGAAGCGGGAAGAGCUCAAAUUUUGAAUCUGGCGGUGUUUGGCCGUCCGAGUUGUAAUCUAGAGA